UGAUAGACCAGGAAUUUGAUGGAAUCUC
RNAcentral lists this non-coding RNA (28 nucleotides) under Homo sapiens (human). The record is from RNAcentral. Lineage: Eukaryota; Metazoa; Chordata; Mammalia; Primates; Hominidae.